UCUUCUUCGGAAGAGAGCGGCGGACGGGUGAGUAACGCGUGGGUAACCUGCCCUGUACACACGGAUAACAUACCGAAAGGUAUGCUAAUACGGGAUGACAUAUGAAAGUCGCAUGGCUUUUAUAUCAAAGCUCCGGCGGUACAGGAUGGACCCGCGUCUGAUUAGCUAGUUGGUAAGGUAACGGCUUACCAAGGCGACGAUCAGUAGCCGACCUGAGAGGGUGAUCGGCCACACUGGAACUGAGACACGGUCCAGACUCCUACGGGAGGCAGCAGUGGGGAAUAUUGCACAAUGGGCGAAAGCCUGAUGCAGCAACGCCGCGUGAGCGAUGAAGGCCUUCGGAUCGUAAAGCUCUGUCCUCAAGGAAGAUAAUGACGGUACUUGAGGAGGAAGCCCCGGCUAACUACGUGCCAGCAGCCGCGGUAAUACGUAGGGGGCUAGCGUUAUCCGGAAUUACUGGGCGUAAAGGGUGCGUAGGCGGUCUUUCAAGCCAGAAGUGAAAGGCUACGGCUCAACCGUAGUAAGCUUUUGGAACUGUAGGACUUGAGUGCAGGAGAGGAGAGUAGAAUUCCUAGUGUAGCGGUGAAAUGCGUAGAUAUUAGGAGGAAUACCAGUAGCGAAGGCGGCUCUCUGGACUGUAACUGACGCUGAGGCACGAAAGCGUGGGGAGCAAACAGGAUUAGAUACCCUGGUAGUCCACGCCGUAAACGAUGAGUACUAGGUGUCGGGGGUUACCCCCCCUCGGUGCCGCAGCUAACGCAUUAAGUACUCCGCCUGGGGAAGUACG
RNAcentral lists this ribosomal RNA (787 nucleotides) under uncultured bacterium. RNAcentral's name for it is "bacterial SSU rRNA". It matches the Rfam family "Bacterial small subunit ribosomal RNA", at positions 74 to 884 of the family's 1533-position model. The record is from RNAcentral.